RNAcentral lists this long non-coding RNA (2235 nucleotides) under Helianthus annuus (common sunflower). Lineage: Eukaryota; Viridiplantae; Streptophyta; Magnoliopsida; Asterales; Asteraceae. The record is from RNAcentral.
AUGAGCUGCCAACAAAAACAUAAAAUCUAAUUUCAAAAUUCAAAUCCACCUCCAUCUUUCCCUUUCUUCUCUCUCUCUCAACCCUGAAUGCAAGCAGCGUCCAUCGUAUGGAUCUAGAAACCCUAACUCUGAACAAAACCAGAAGAACAUCGAAGCGAUGGAGUCAAGUAUCGGAUCUAGAAAAUGCAAGCAACGUCCAUUGUAAUCCGAUCUACUUCCACCGUCACAGAUCCGGUUUCCAGUGACAGUGUUUCUAGGGUUUGUUGGUUAGGGACAAAAGUCAUGGCUGGUUCUCCUUAAUCUACCCUUGAUGGAUGCAAAAAUGGGUCAAACAGAAGAAGCCCUAGACCUACAUCUUUACACCGCCGCUGAAGAACUUUUUCGGAGAAGAAUGGUUGAAGAAUCUGUCGACGGCUCUGAUCUUGCUGGAUCUGAGAAAGUAUUGUACGGUCGUUUACUGGAUCACUUACUGUUGUAUCUACAAACAAAUUGUUGUUUGUUUGUAGAUAUAAAGUUGUUUACUGGAUCACUUACUGUAUAAAGUUGUUUACUGGAUCACUUACUGUAUAAAGUUGUUUACUGGAUCAAUUGCAAAUGAAUGAUCGAUUCAAGGUUCACUGAUUUAAGUAAGGUAUAGCGAUCAUGAGUGACGAUUCUGUUAUGAAUCCAGAGCUUGUAAUCAAUCACAAAUUUCUGCAAGUCGAUAUCGAUUCACAGCCGAACCAAAACUUUUACCAGAGUGGAGUUUCAGGGGAACAACAACAACCAUCCACUACUGUUCUGAUGAUUUCAAGAUGAGAGUUGUGUUGCAGACCCGAUCAACGACAGAUUCAGCAGCAGCAGUUGUUGAUGCAGUCCGCUAGGGUUUCGUACAACAAUGGCGAUCAUCAGCGUGAUAAUCCGUAUGGAUUGUCAACAAAGAUUGUUUCGCCUUCGUAUGGAUUGUCUAUGGAGUCACAUUAAGGUUUGAAUUCGGAUUUUUUUAAUGAUAGUUGUUUGUAUUUGAUCAAAAUUGUUUGUAUAUGAUGAUGUUUAGGGUUAGAUUAGUUUUGAGUGUGUUUUUGGGGUUUGGGAACUAUUGAAUAUAGUUCAUCAAGAUCAGUAGAAUCCAACUAUUCCGACCGCCGGAAGUACGCCGUAUAAAAUCCAAUAAUAUCCCACGGCAAGGGGUUCACCAUGGGCUCAUUGGAAUCAACUCUUAUAAAUUCACAGUAAAGAAUAGCGAAGAUGGAAUCACCGGCGGGCACCAGAACGGUACGGUAAGCAGGCUGAAAAGCUGUAGUGUCUCGGUGCUUGCGUUUCAUUGAAUAAUAAAAGCGCCUAUCAGCCUUCUCCGAACCCAAUUCCGACAUCGAUUUCGAUCCGACAGGUACGCAAUUCUGAUUUUGGUUUGUCUCUUCGUUGUCGAAUGAGCAUGUAGACUCUUACGUUCUAUCCGAGUCGAGUCUGUUUGUGUUCCCUUACAAAGUCAUUAUCAAAACUUGUGGAACCACUAAACUGCUGCUAUCAAUACCGGCUAUUCUCUUAUUAACCAAACCUUGGAUUGAACCAUAUUUAAAAGCCAUGUUAGACAUGUCAAGUGAUAUUAGUCGCCUCCUUAAUAAGAGAAUGAUUUGAUUGGAAAUAGCAUCUCCUGUUCACGGAAAUUGUAUUGGCAUACGUCAUGACCUUAACUUUGAAUUAUUUUGUAAAGCUUUGAUGAUUUAAAGAUUCUGAGUUUGUUUGAUGUAUCAGAUUGGAUCCUUCUAUGCUGUAUAAAAUGCAUUGUCACCAAAAAAGGUCAAUUAUAGAUCACCAGCAACAACAAACAUGUACUACUUUUUAAUUUAAUUGUUUUUGCGUAAAUAUUUUAGGACAAUCUGGUAAGUUCUUUACUUUAAAUUCAUCUUAUGUAGGUGUAUGUUAGAUGCAGCUUAUCCAAACUAUUCUAAUGCAAUUUUAUUGCUAACUUAUCCCACAAAAAUUUUCACUUUGUGAGUUAUCUACUAACUAAUAUAUGUAAAUAUCAUUGUCUCUGGUUUGGUUUAGGGGGAGGCAUGGCACGCAGACCAUGGCCGGCUCAACCAUUUUGGUGGCCUUAAGCGAAGUACAAAAGUGAGGCCUUAAAAAAAAAAAAAACUAGUUGUAUCGUUAAGAAUGAAAAACAUACCUUGAUAAAAGUCUAUUUGAUAAAAACCCUCCUCCUUUAUCCGGGCUUGGGACCGGCAAAAUAAACUAAAUAGUUUAUAGUUGGCG